GACGAACGCUGGCGGCGUGCUUAACACAUGCAAGUCGAACGAUGAAGAAAAGAAUUGAAGCUUCGGCAGAAAUUCAUUUCGGAUUAGUGGCCGACGGGUGAGUAACGCGUGAGCAACCUACCUCUUACAAAGGGAUAGCCUCGGGAAACCGGGAUUAAUACCAUAUAACAUUGCGACGAAGCAUUUCGAUGCAUUCAAAGCUACGGCGGUAAGAAAUGGUCUCGCGUCCCAUUAACCAGAUGGUGAGGUAACGGCUCACCAUAGUAACGAUGGGUAACCGGCCUGAUAGGGGGAACGGUCACACUGGAACUGAGACACGGUCCAGACUCCUACGGGAGGCAGCAGUGGGGAAUAUUGCACGAUGGAGGGAACUCUGAUGCAGCGACGCCGCGUGAGUGAUGAAGGAAUUCGUUUCGUAAAACUCUGUUCUAUGAGAAGAAAAGGACGGUACCAGAGGAGAAAGCUCCGGCUAAAUACGUG
RNAcentral lists this ribosomal RNA (480 nucleotides) under uncultured bacterium. RNAcentral describes it as "partial 16S ribosomal RNA". It matches the Rfam family "Bacterial small subunit ribosomal RNA", at positions 28 to 507 of the family's 1533-position model. The record is from RNAcentral.